AAACACCUCCAACGGACACAAUUUACGCAGCACAUGGACCACGAGCCUCUGCGCAUUCCGGGAUGGAUACGUACGUUUAUUUUGGCACCGCACUGGACUGUUUUCAUUAAGGAUACCUCCGCGCGUAACGGUGAAUUGUGGAGAAAACUACACCUUGGUCAGAUCUCCAUGAAUCGUGUCUAGUGAUUUCUAUUUCUUUAACAUCCAGACUACUUUUUUGAUCCAAUCUUUUGACUAAAAUGUGAUUGUUUGGCCGCCUGCGCGCGUCUCAGAGCCACCCAAACGCAUUUACGCACUGGAAACUGUCCAAAGGAACGUGGAUUUACUACUUCUUCCCAAGUCUUUACUACGAGGACGCGGGCGCUGCUUUCUUUCUGAGGCCCUGUGCCAAAAUGACCAUCGCGUCCAUGGGUCCAAAGAAGAGCCAAGACUGAAGAACCAAACCUCAUUUCUGUUCCAAUCCGAGCAAAUCCACAUCAGCUGCACCGGGAAAAAAUGGAAAGUGAGGUUUUUAGCCCUUUGCUGGAGCAGUUUUUGCUCUCACCCCUUGUCUGCUGGGUUAAGACCGUGGGGCAGCUGACUGUGACAGAUGGCACCAAAUUGUCCGAAUAUAUUGAGUUAGUGGAUGGGAUUUACCUGAACGAGAUCAUGCUGGAGAUAAAUCCCAAGGCCACCGUGCAGAGGACCAACAAGAAAGUAAACAACGACUCCACCCUUCGGAUCCAGAAUCUCUCCAUACUCAUCAGGCAGAUUAAAGCCUUCUAUCAGGAGACUCUACAGCAGCUGGUGAUGAUGCCUUUACCAAAUGUGCUGGUCCUGGGUCGAAACCCUCUUUCAGUUCAAGGUUUGGAAGAAAUGAAGAAGUUACUGUUGCUGCUUUUGGGCUGCGCCGUCCAGUGUGAGAAGAAGGAGGAAUAUAUCGACCGAAUCCAGACGUUGGAUUUUGACACUAAAGCUGCUAUAGCGUCCCACAUCCAAGAGGUUACUCAUAAUCAGGAAAAUGUCGUGGACCUUCAGUGGUUGGAAAGUGGAGACGUUCCCCCUGAGGACCUGGACAGUCUCUCCCGAAACCUGGCGUUCCACCUGAAGCACUUGGUCGAUGAAAGAGACACACAGCUGGAGACCAUAGUGGAGCUGACUCAGGAAAGAGACUGUGUGCAGUUGUCUCCUCUGGGCCCGUGUCCGGCUCAGUCUCCGAACGGCUCCCCGAGUCUGAGGAGAACCGAGAGCCGCCAGCACCUCUCCGUGGAGCUCGCGGACGCCAAGGCUCGGAUCAGACGCCUACGGCAGGAGCUAGAGGAGAAGAGCGAGCAGCUUUUGGACACGAGGCAGGAGCUGGAGAACAUGGAAGCCGAGUUGAAGAGGGUCCAGACGGAGAGUUACCAGCUGAUGUCCGACGCCCGGUCAGCUCGAGCGUACAGGGACGAGCUGGACGCGCUCCGAGAGAAAGCGCUGCGUGUGGACAAACUGGAGAGUGAACUGUGUCGAUACAAAGAGAGACUCCACGAUAUCGACUUCUACAAGGCCAGAGUCGAGGAGUUGAAAGAAGACAAUCAGAUUUUGCUGGAGACAAAGAACAUGCUGGAGGAACAACUGGACACGAGCCGGAGCCGCGCCGACAAACAUCACCACCUCGAGAAGGAGAAUCUGCAGCUCAAAUCAAAACUGCACGAUUUGGAGACGGAGCGUGACUUGGACCGUAAGCGCAUGGAGGAGCUGUUGGAGGAGAACUUGGUGCUGGAGAUGGCUCAGAAGCAGAGCAUGGAUGAGUCUCUGCAUCUCGGCUGGGAGCUCGAGCAACUCUCCAAAACGCCGGACCUGACUGACGUCCCGCAGAAGUCUUUGGGAGAAGAGGUGAACGAGUUGACGUCCAGCCGCUUGUUGAAGCUGGAAAAAGACAACCAGACUCUGCUAAAGACGGUGGAGGAGCUCAGGGGCGCAGCGACGCAAGACACUACGGCCAAACUGUCCAGAGCGAACCAGGAAAACCAAACGCUGAAGCAGAAGCUGGAGCAGGUGGAGGCUGAGCUUGUGGCCGACAGAGACUCGUUGCGCAGCUCUGAGGCUCUGAGCACGGACCUGAUGAAGGAAAAGGCUUUACUGGAGAAAACCCUGGAGACUCUGCGGGAGAACUCGGAGAGACAGAUGAAGGGUCUGGAGCAGGAGAACAAACACCUGAGUCACACGGUGGCGUCCCUGAGGCAGCGGUGUCAGGUCGGAGCGGAGGCCAGGGUCAAAGACGUGGAGAAGGAGAAUCGAGUCCUGCACGAGUCCAUCUGCGAGACGACCGCCAAACUCAACAAGCUGGAGUUUGAAAGGAAACAAUUGCGAAAGGAACUGGAAGUGGUGAAGGAGAAGGGAGAGCGGGCGGAGGAGCUGGAGGUGCAGGUGCAGAGGCUGGAGAGGGAAAACGAAAGUCUGCAGAAGAAAGUGGCAAGUUUGGGGAUCACGUGUGAAAAGGUUUUGACUUUGGAGAAGGAGAACAUGGAGUUGGAGGCUGAAGGUCGUCAUCUGAAAAAGAAGCUGGACACGUUGAAAAACAUGGCGUUUCGGUUGGAGGUUUUGGAAAAGGACAAUGUCCAAAUUGAACAAGAAAAUCUGGAGUUGCGUCGCACUGCAGAAACUCUACGAUCGGCCGGAGCGAAGGCGGCGGAGCUGGAGGCGGAGAACAGGGAGCUGGAGAGCGAGAAGAGUCAGCUGAAACGCAGUCUGGAGCUCCUGAAGGCCUCAUCGAAGAAGAACGAGCGAUUAGAGGUGAGUUACCAGGGCCUGGAUACGGAGAACCAGCGCUUACAGAAGGCUCUGGAGAACAGCAGCAAGAAGAUCCAGCAACUCGAGGUGGAGCUUCAGGAAGUGGAGACGGAAAAUCAGACGCUACAGCGGAGUUUGGAGGAGCUGAAGAUCUCGAGUAAACGCCUGGAGCAGCUGGAGCAAGAGAACAAAGUGCUGGAGCAGGAAACGUCGCAGUUGGAGAAAGACAAAAAGCUCCUGGAGAAAGAGAACAAACGUCUGAGGCAACAGGCCGAGAUCAAAGACUCCAAACUCGACGACAACAACCAGCGGAUCUCUGCUCUGGAGAAAGAGAACCGCAACAUGGGCAAAGAGAUGAUCUUCUUCAGAGACUCGUGCACCAGAGUCAAAGACCUGGAGAGAGAGAACAAAGAGCUGCUGAAACAGGCCAGCAUCGACAAGAAGACGCUCGUCACGCUCAGAGAGGAGCUGGUGAGUGAAAAGCUCCGGACUCAACAGAUGAACAACGAUCUGGAGAAACUGACGCACGAACUGGAGAAGAUCGGACUCAACAAAGAGCGACUUCUACACGAUGAAAGCUCCGACGACAGGUUUAAGCUCCUGGAGUCGAAGCUUGAGUCAACUCUGAAGUCGUCUUUAGAGAUCAAGGAGGAGAAGAUCGCUGCUCUAGAGGCGAGAUUACAGGAGUCGUCAAACCUCAACCAGCAGCUUCGACAAGAGCUUAAGACGGUGAAGAAAAACUACGAAGCUCUGCGACAAAGAGAGGAAGAGGAAAGGAUGGUCCAGAGCUCGCCCCCUAAAGGCGGGGAGGACCAAAAGUCUGCGAAUAAAUGGGAGAAGGAGAGCCACGAGGCCACACGAGAACUGCUCAAAGUCAAAGACCGGCUUAUUGAGGUGGAAAGGAAUAACGCGACACUUCAGGCGGAGAAAGCUGCUCUGAGAAGCCAGCUCAAACAACUAGAGACUCAGAGCUCCAACCUCCAGGCUCAGAUCGUGGCUCUGCAGAGACAAACCGCCUCUUUACAGGAGAACAACACAACGCUGCAAACUCAAAACGCAAAGCUGCAGGUUGAAAACUCCACGCUGAGCUCCCAGAGUGCGUCGCUCAUGGCCCAGAACGCCCAGCUGCAGAGCCAGCAGAGCGGGCUGGAGGGGGAGAGAGAGGGGGCGCUGAGGGAGAAGGAGGAGGUGCGGUCCACGUACGAACUUCUGCUGAGAGACCACGAGAAGCUGGCCGCGCUCCACGAGAGGCAGGCCGCCGAGUACGAGGCUCUGAUCGGAAAACACGGAGGUCUGAAGAGCUCGCACAAAAGUCUGGAGCAGCAACACCGAGACCUGGAGGACAAGUACAAGCAGCUGUUGCAGAGGAAAGCAGAUCUAGAGCAACUGGAAAAAAGUCUGAAGGAGCAGCAAGAAAAAAUGACAUCUGAAAAUGAGGCUCACAAGGCGACGGCUGAUAAGUGCAGACUGCUCAAAGAAGAAAAUGAAAGACUCAACACGACGUAUCAGCAGCUCAUGAAGGACAAUGAGACGCUGCAGCUCGACCAUAAAAACAUAAAGAGCCAACUGAACAACGCCAAACUGGAACAGACCAAACUGGAGGCCGAGUUCUCCAAACUGAAGGAGCAAUAUCAACAACUGGACAUUACAUCGACCAAACUCACCAACCAGUGCGAGCUGUUGAGUCAGUUAAAGGGAAACCUGGAGGAGGAGAACCGUCACCUGCUGGACCAGAUCCAGACCCUGAUGCUGCAGAACCGCACUCUCCUGGAGCAGACCAUGGAGAGCAAGGACCUCUUCCACGUGGAGCAGAGACAAUACAUAGACAAGCUGAACGAGCUGAGGAGACAGAAAGAGAAGCUUGAGGAGAAGAUAAUGGACCAGUAUAAGUUUUAUGACCCUUCACCUCCGCGCAGGCGUGGAAACUGGAUCACUCUGAAGAUGAAGAAGCUGAUCAAGCCAAAGAGGGAGAGGAUGCGCUCGCUCACUUUGACCCCGUCCCGCUCAGAGUCAGGUGACGCUCUGGCUCUGCCUCUGGACAGUCAGGACAGCUCCUCCAUCGGCUCCGGCACCAACUCUCUGGACGACACGCUCACGCAGAAGAGGAGCAACACUCUAAAAAGGCUGCCAUUCAUGAGGAACAGGUCCAAGGAGAAAGACAAAGCCAAGGCCAUCUACCGGCGCUCCAUGUCCAUGAACGACCUGCUGCAGACCAUGGCGGUGGCGGGGGGUCCUGAGGCGCAGUGGGCGCUCAGCAUCGACAACCUGGACGGAGGAGAAUCUCUGGACUCGACGGGAUCCACGCGACGCAACGGUCAGAGACUCAAAGAACUGGCCCUGUCGUCCAACGCCAUCGACUGCGAGGCGCUCACACUGCCCUCUGCAGGACACGGCAGGAACAAGCUCCGGAUCAGGGUCAAAGACGAUGCUUCCUGUGAGGAUGUGGCCGGCUCCUCUGACGAUCCCAAGAGUCAAGCCUCCAGACCCUCCAGUCUCCGUAGCAACAGGACCAGUAGUAAUAGUAACAAUAACUCUCACCUCACCUCUCCCCUGGAGCCCAAAGGGACUCUGAACGGGAGCCUGAGUCGGCCCCACAGUGAGAGCAGUGGGGAGUUCAGCCUGAGUCUGGACCAGGACGUGUGGUCCAGCAGUGGGAGCAGUCCAGUGCAGCAGCCCUCCCUGUCCCGCACGUCCCACCAGAGCCCCCUGCAGCUGCGGCGGUCCCUGGACCCGUCCACCGCGGCCUGCCUGGGACAGGCCCAGAUCAGGAAGAACGGCUCCCCCGGCAACGAAGUCGUGUCUUUACAGCAGUUUCUUGACGAGGGGAUUGACCCGACAGAGUCGGGGAGUCAGGAGAACCUCACAGUGGACUCUCCUCGACUCUCCACAUCCUCUGACCAUGGAGCGAAGGAGCGUCCCGCCACUAAAGGCCGAGGAAUCCUCCGCUCGUCCAGCGGGCGAGCCGCUCCCGUCGGGUCAGAGCGCCCCCCCAGGUCCUCAGCUCAGCCGGGACGUCCUGCCCUGCGUAAGGCUGAGAGCACCCGCGUGAAGGGCACUGUCCCGCGCCUGUCCACUCAGACCAAAGCCUUGUCUGUUUCCGAUCGCCUGGACUCCACCUCCUCCACCCUGCCCCGGGCCAGCAGCGUCAUCUCCACCGCCGAGGGCACCACCCGCCGCACCAGUAUCCACGACAUGCUGUCCAAGGACAACAGACAGCCCGUGUCCGUGGACGCGUCCCCUCCGACACCACCCACAAAGGCGGGACUGCGCUCCCAGCCCACCCCCAGUGAGUACCACCCAAACAGCAGCGCCGCCCCCCUGCCCAAGUCCCUGAGCUUACCCUGCCACAGCCUGGACGACCCCGAGCUCUCCAACCUAGAGUCGCUCCUGGGCCCCUCGUUCACUGUGGAGUCUGUGUUCAUGGACUCCAUCUUUAGUGAGUCGUCCUCUAAAAACCUGCCCUUCCUGUCCCUGAAUCCUACUUUAGUCAGUAACAUCAGCGGCCCCCCCAAAGCCCACGCCAGCCCCCUGUCCCACAGCUCCGCCCCUCCGUCCCAGAGCCGGGGGUACGAGCAGGGUCAUAGUUCAGACGAGGCCGUGAGCCCCGAGGAGCAGGCUCUGUGGUACGAGUACGGCUGUGUGUAACUCACAAACACUGAUGCAUGAUGGUCCGACACUGGGGCUUCUGUUGGAGUGGGGACUUCACUUCCUUUUUUUGUUCACUUCAUUUGGGAAUAAUGUGUCCAGCGUUUACUGUUGUGUUUCCUUCUUUAAAAUGGUUCACAGACGAGCAUGAUGUAAAGGGCUUUCUCUGGUGUUAUGUAAGUGUUUUGUGAGGUGUCUCUUCAGUUUGUUGCAUUUUAUCCCAGAAACAGUUUGGCAAAUAUGAAGCAAAAUGUGUUCAUUUUGUGUUUGUUUUCGCUCACACUCACGGCUUUUGUUCCUCGCGCUAAACUGCAUGGCUUUGAUAUGAACUGUUCAAAGAGUCAUUUUGAUUUAAUUUAAUCAAAAUGGGGUCAAGUUUGUUUUUAUUUUGUCACUUUUCUGUAUUUUCUUUGUGGUGGAUGUUUCAUUGGGUGAUGAAAAAUGCCACGAGUUCAUUCACAAAGUCACAAAAUAUGAGCUGGUCAUUUUGGAAACGCUUCAUCAGAUUUUAAUUGCAAAUAUUUUGGGAAUGAAGCAUCAUGGGGAAAGUUAAACCCGUGCAUCAGUGGGUGGUUAUAAAUGAGAUGUACAGAUUAUUGUAAACAUUUAUUUAUAUUAUAUUCCUUUGACGAGCACUGCUCUGCGUGUCAAUGCUAGAAAUACUUUCAGUUUAUUUAUUUUAUUAUUAUUUCAGCUUCUUUUGUUCUGUUUUUAUUUUUACUUCGGGGUCAUACAGAUGUAACGUGACCGUUGCCUUUGUCCUGCAGAUGUCGAGGGCAGAAAGUCUAAAAGCCGGAGCGGGGAGCCCCAGUCAGGCCGCUAACCCCGCCCCCCGGUCCAGUGUGUGCGCUCCCAUGCUGAGCGCGUGUGGUGAGUGUGGCCUUGGAGCUGUGUGUUGAAGAUUUCUAGCCUAAAGACUCCAUUGAGAAGAUUGUAAAUGUCUGGGUUUUGUAUGUAAACAUUUUAGUAGAGAAAAGUAUUUCCUUCUCUGUUCAGUUUUUGUUUCUUCCUUGAAUCAAGGAAAGUGGAAAAGGCGCUAAAGAAAAUCAAGGUGUUGUUUUGUAAAGUUGAGGCAGAUUGUUUUGCCGCUGUAUUUGACCUGCACUAAAGGUUUAUAGUGCCAAUAUUCACAACAGCCAAAAGGACGACUCCGACACCCCCCUGGAUCUACACGUGGACUUUGUGACUGGAACUUUGGAAGCAGCAGCAGCCGCACUAGCACUACUUCUGUCCUGCUCUUAAGCCAUAGACUACAGCCAUCCAGUUUGGCUUGUACAUUUUACACGCAUGUUGGCACAAACCUUUGCUCAAAAUGAACAAUCAGACUGCAUGGAGCAAUCAAACCCAGUCACACCACGAGCUGAGGACGUCAGGAGGAAGGAAAGCCAUGGAGUCGUGUGAUUGGUCUGAUGCAAGAGACUGGACAAGAACUACAAACUCACACAAUAUCCCAUAAGUCAUCGUCUUUCUGCCUAAACACUCUUCAUGACGGGUUCAGCCUGAGUCCUAAAUAAAAGCACAGAUUAUUGUUACUGUAGACUGGGCGACGCCUGUCCAGUGCUGUGACGUUUUCUUCUAUUUCCAGUUUUACAAAAAUCCCUUGAUGUUAUUAAAAUC
Periophthalmus magnuspinnatus is the source of this 8013-nucleotide RNA transcript. It is a transcript of the gene named coiled-coil domain containing 88Ab, with no coding region annotated. NCBI's taxonomy places the organism in Eukaryota, Metazoa, Chordata, Actinopteri, Gobiiformes, Gobiidae. The transcript is spliced from 36 exons. The record is from RefSeq and is a predicted model, not a curated record.